UAAAUAUUACAAACUUAUAAGCAAAUGAAUGCUUAAUUCCACAAUAUACAGAUCAUGCUGGAAUUUUGAUCUGGUCACUUUAACCAUUAUCGAGUUAUGCCCCUUAUAAAUGGAGAGAAAAUGCAAAAAAAAAUAGUUUCACUUCUCUAACUUAAGUUUGUCCCAACCAUUUCCCCAACCAAGCAUAUUGAAACCUUUACACAAUACUUAUCACUACAAGCCUUCGAUCUGACAUGUACAAAUUUGGGUAGCGUCACUUUUGUCGUUCUGGAGUAAUGUUCCUUUAUAAUGUUGUAUGCAGCGGGG
RNAcentral lists this long non-coding RNA (306 nucleotides) under Mytilus galloprovincialis (Mediterranean mussel). Lineage: Eukaryota; Metazoa; Mollusca; Bivalvia; Mytilida; Mytilidae. The record is from RNAcentral.